RNAcentral lists this ribosomal RNA (360 nucleotides) under Polyacanthonotus rissoanus (smallmouth spiny eel). RNAcentral describes it as "partial 12S ribosomal RNA". It matches the Rfam family "Bacterial small subunit ribosomal RNA", at positions 865 to 1388 of the family's 1533-position model. The record is from RNAcentral. Lineage: Eukaryota; Metazoa; Chordata; Actinopteri; Notacanthiformes; Notacanthidae.
CUACCCGCCAGGGGACUACAAGCACUAGCUUAAAACCCAAAGGACUUGGCGGUGCCUCAAACCCAUCUAGAGGAGCCUGUUCUAUAACUGAUAAUCCUCGUUAAACCUCACCACUCCUUGUUAUUUCCGCCUAUAUACCGCCGUCGCCAGCUCACCUUGUGAAAGAUGAAUAGUGAGCUUAAUGGGGAUACCCCAAAACGUCAGGUCGAGGUGUAGCGAAUGGGGUGGGAAGAAAUGGGCUACAUUUUCUGACCACAGAAUACUACGAAAAAUGUCAUGAAACAUGACGUACAGAAGGUGGAUUUAGCAGUAAAGAGAAAGCAGAGUGUUCUCUUGAAAUUGGCUCUGAGGCGCGUACAC